This is a long non-coding RNA of Rhododendron vialii, 1345 nucleotides long. RefSeq lists it as uncharacterized. Lineage: Eukaryota; Viridiplantae; Streptophyta; Magnoliopsida; Ericales; Ericaceae. The transcript has 5 exons. The record is from RefSeq and is a predicted model, not a curated record.
GGUAGUGGGCUAGCUGGCAUGAUCUGAGUGCCCUACGGGAUGCGUGAAGUAUCUCGCCCGUUCCUUUUACUGUCUUCUCUGGCAACUUCCCCCAGAGUUCAGACCUUUCCAUCCAGCUCCACUGGUUUAUUUUCCCCUUGGUUUUCUUUCUCUCUCAUCCCCUCUGUGCUUUCAACUUGGAAGAGCAAAGACCGUCAACGCUUUGAUCGCCGAUAUUUCAUGGGUAAUCUCUCUCGACCUCUUGACCUCCUGUUCAAAGUGUUUUUAGGGUUAUCUCGAUUUCGAUUUUGUUUUUUCUCACCUCUAUGUUUCCCUCUGUCUCAUGGAGGCGCCGGCGUCGAAGUCACUCAUCGGCUGCAACAGGUAGGUUUUACCCGUGCAACUCCAAGAUCGCACUUUUCCUGCUCCAAAAUCUGUCGCCGCCAUAGAUCUGUUCAUUGAAGGAAAUGUUGAGAAGGAUUUAGAUCCUACACCCAUAACCCAAAUCCGUUUCAGUCUAUGUUCACGAUUCCUGGUGGGUUUUCCUAUUUCCAGUGGGUUUAUUGAUUUCUAUUUGGUCGAGUUCCGAGACUGCCCUGCUUCUGGGCUUCAUUCGGAUGGCCACCCGGUCGAUCGGAUAUGCCCCUGGGCUUCAUCAAGGUUUCAAGGAACAUCAAAAGAGCCAUGCCAUGUGAAGCAGAAAGAUGGACUCGAUAUUAGAGCACAUGUGGAAUACGCGACGAAUUUAGGAAAUAUUUUUCCCAAGGGCUAAUAUAAGGAUCAACUGAAUGCAAGGAAUGAAGACCUAUUCUCUGGGUGCAUGUGCAUAACCUUGAGCUAAAAUUGCAGAAAUGGUAAGUUUAGAGGAGACGAUUGACAUGUUUAUUUCACUUUUGGCUAUGAUGUUAUUUUCAUAUAUUGUUAGCUGCGAAAAGGCAUAGAGUGCAGUUUGAAUGCAGUUUGUAGUGCAAUUUGAUGAAGAGAAUAAAUUCUUUACACCGCCGGUGUAAACAUUUGUUUCCUCCAAAUCUGUUGCAUUGCGACACGUGUCAAAAUAGUGCUCUCAAUUAAUAAAACAUUUGAUGAAUGCAGUUUUCAGUGGACUUUCAAUGCUGUUUUAGUGCACAUUGCAAUGGAAGUACAGCUGUUGCUGUGUGUGUGGGUGUCCAAACUGCAAUUUUAUUGGAGAUUUGAGGCUGUUUUAGUGCAGUUUUUUUUGUGUAAUUUUACUGCAAUAUCUGUGGCAAUGAUGAUUGUCUGUGCUCACAAAUGGGCUACUUCCACUUUUGAACUAUACUUCUGUGUGUAUUGAGGUUGACAGCUAUGUGCAAUGCUGGACACAGUUUUUUCCCCUCCCAAAAAGAGG